GCUUGUCUCAAAGAUUAAGCCAUGCAUGUCUAAGUAUAAAUGGUAUACAGUGAAACUGCGAAUGGCUCAUUAAAACAGUUAUAGUUUAUUUGGUAUUCGAAUUUACAUGGAUAACCGUGGUAAUUCUAGAGCUAAUACAUGCAUUACGCCUGACUUUUCGGAAGGGCAGUAUUUAUUAGAUACAAAACCAAUGCGGGGCAACCCGGUUGUUGGUGAUUCAUAAUAACUUUUGCGGAUCGCAUGGCCUUGAGCCGGCGACGAAUCAUUCAAAUUUCUGCCCUAUCAACUUUCGAUGGUACGGUAUUGGCCUACCAUGGUUACCACGGGUAACGGGGAAUUAGGGUUCGGUUCCGGAGAGGGGGCCUGAGAAAUGGCCACCACAUCCAAGGAAGGCAGCAGG
Molecule: ribosomal RNA, 400 nt
Filed under: uncultured Salpingoecidae
Lineage: Eukaryota; Choanoflagellata; Craspedida; Salpingoecidae
Description: partial small subunit ribosomal RNA
Rfam family: Eukaryotic small subunit ribosomal RNA
Source: RNAcentral